CGGGGCAUAGCUUAAUGGUAAAGCAGCCGGCUUAUACCCGGUGUUAGCGGCAGAUUACCGCAAGAGUGCAGGUUCGAGUCCUGCUGCCCCGA
RNAcentral lists this transfer RNA (92 nucleotides) under Acidobacteriota bacterium. RNAcentral's name for it is "Acidobacteria bacterium (soil metagenome) tRNA-Ile". It matches the Rfam family "tRNA". From Rfam's summary of the family: Transfer RNA (tRNA) molecules are approximately 80 nucleotides in length. Their secondary structure includes four short double-helical elements and three loops (D, anti-codon, and T loops). Further hydrogen bonds mediate the characteristic L-shaped molecular structure. tRNAs have two regions of fundamental functional importance: the anti-codon, which is responsible for specific mRNA codon recognition, and the 3' end, to which the tRNAs corresponding amino acid is attached (by aminoacyl-tRNA synthetases). tRNAs cope with the degeneracy of the genetic code in two manners: having more than one tRNA (with a specific anti-codon) for a particular amino acid; and 'wobble' base-pairing, i.e. permitting non-standard base-pairing at the 3rd anti-codon position. The record is from RNAcentral. Lineage: Bacteria; Pseudomonadati; Acidobacteriota.